Homo sapiens (human) is the source of this 617-nucleotide long non-coding RNA. RefSeq annotates it as POU4F3 antisense RNA 1. NCBI's taxonomy places the organism in Eukaryota, Metazoa, Chordata, Mammalia, Primates, Hominidae. The record is from RefSeq and is a predicted model, not a curated record. The transcript has 3 exons.
CCUAGUGAAGAGUCCAGAUGUAGACUUAAAGAGCUCUGGAAUCUCCUCCAAGGGUUCAGCCAGAAGCCAUCUGACUGGCUAUGACCAGUAUUGGGGACUUUAUUCUUCCAAAGGCAGUCUAUCCAAUUUUUGGACCACUCUGAUGGUGUCAGAGGCCUUCUGUAGAUUGAGCUCAAAUAACUCACUUCUAGUUGUCUUAGGUCAACAAUGUGUGGCCACAGAGAUUAAGUCAAACUCCUCUUCAUCUCUGUGCUGUUCCUGAAUUUGCCAGCCUUCCAGGUUUCUGAGUUGUUGAUAAACACCGCACAGGAGACAUGAGGACAGAACCCUUCAGUGGAGACCUGUUUGGAUAUUGCAGGGGCUUUCUGUGCCCCGCCUAUGCGUGAUUUCAGCGCUGUGGAUUGCCAUUCGUGCCAUGGCGAAUGUAUGGCAUUUAGAACAUCUUGGAUUUCCCAUCACCCCUCACCUUUCUGCAUCUAUGUUGGCCUUAUUCAUAUAACAAACCUUGGCAAUCUUGUUCAUGUGAAAAGUGGUGGAGCAAAUAACUCGGAACAUGUUACCUAUUCCAUUGACUCUGCAACUUCCAAGCAGGGCAGUUCGACUUGGAUAUACAAACC